Molecule: long non-coding RNA, 345 nt
Organism: Micropterus dolomieu (smallmouth bass)
Lineage: Eukaryota; Metazoa; Chordata; Actinopteri; Centrarchiformes; Centrarchidae
Exons: 3
Source: RefSeq, a predicted model, not a curated record
UCCGCCAUUGUUUGACAGGUCUCGUUGCUAACCAGACGCUUUCCUGGUUACCUACUCAACAAAAAAACGACAGAAAGAAACGUCCCACUUUCGUAAGGAUUAUUUCGAAGCCUUUCAGCUGCACAGAGAGCAUGAAAGAGGACAGACGUUGUAGCCAGGCUUAAAAAUGAAGCCAAACUACUGCAACAUCGUCUUUGCCAGUGUGAAAUGGCCUGGUGCUGAAGAGAAUCUGUUCCACGACUGCAGCAACACAGAUUUGCUACAAGACAAGAGAAGCUGAGAUCUCGCAUGAUGACGCAGCAUCCCUAGGAUGUACAAAGACUACAGAUCAAGAAGAGUCACAGG